This 497-nucleotide ribosomal RNA is filed under the name uncultured bacterium. RNAcentral's name for it is "partial 16S ribosomal RNA". It matches the Rfam family "Bacterial small subunit ribosomal RNA", at positions 28 to 507 of the family's 1533-position model. The record is from RNAcentral.
GAUGAACGCUGGCGGCGGGCCUAAUACAUGCAAGUCGAGCGAACAGACGAGGAGCUUGCUCCGCUGACGUUGGCGGCGGACGGGUGAGUAACACGUGGAUAACCUACCCAUAAGACUGGGAUAACUUCGGGGAACCGGAGCUAAUACCGGAUAAGAUAUUGAACCGGAUGGUUCAAUGGUGAAAGACGGGUUUGCUGUCACUUGUAGAGGGAUCCGCGCCGCAUUAGCUAGUUGGUAAGGUAACGGCUUACCAAGGCAACGAUGCGUAGCCGACCUGAGAGGGUGAUCGGCCACACUGGAACUGAGACACGGUCCAGACUCCUACGGGAGGCAGCAGUAGGGAAUAUUCCGCAAUGGGCGAAAGCUUGACGGAGCAACGCCGCGUGAGUGAUGAAGGUCUUCGGAUCGUAAAACUCUGUUAUUAGGGAAGAACAAAUGUGUAAGUAACUCUGCCCGUCUUGACGGUACCUACUCAGAAAGCACCGGCUAACUACGUG